UGUCCUACGGGAGGCAGCAGUGGGGAAUAUUGCACAAUGGGGGGAACCCUGAUGCAGCGACGCCGCGUGGGUGAAGAAGUCAUUCGUGACGUAAAGCCCUCUCAGCAGGGAAGAAAAUGACGGUACCUGACUAAGAAGCCCCGGCUAACUACGUGCCAGCAGCCGCGGUAAUACGUAGGGGGCAAGCGUUAUCCGGAUUUACUGGGUGUAAAGGGAGCGUAGGCGGCGAUGCAAGUCAGAAGUGAAAGCCCGGGGCUCAACUCCGGGACUGCUUUUGAAACUGUGUUGCUAGAUUGCAGGAGAGG
This 305-nucleotide ribosomal RNA is filed under the name uncultured bacterium. RNAcentral describes it as "bacterial SSU rRNA". It matches the Rfam family "Bacterial small subunit ribosomal RNA", at positions 335 to 657 of the family's 1533-position model. The record is from RNAcentral.